GUGUGUGUGUGUGUGUGUGUGUGUGUGUGUGUGUGAAUCAUGCAACAACAUGGUUUCAUAUCACAGACUGCAAACGAAGGGAUUUACAGUGGCAUAAGGACGAUUGAGGCUCAAGGACGGGGGAGGCGGAUACCAGCGGCAGCCUUGACAUCAAGCAUUAGGCCGUCAGUGAAGCGAGGCAGUCAUCUCGUUAUGAUCCAUGAAUCUUAUCAGUUUCUUCUCACCGGCAAAGAAUCUUCAGAUCAAAAACGUUGUGACUUCUAUAGACUUAGAGAAAGGUUCCUGCCCUACCUUUUAUCUACCAUUGUGCAAAAAGGGAGCCUCCUGAAAACACCUAUGAGUCUGAGAAUCCUCUCUCUCAACGAGGCGGGUCUUUAUCGUCACUGGCUACGCACGACAUCCCUCAAGUCCACAGCCUGCCUCAACCCUCCCAGUACAUAUACAGUCAACACAACCAUUGCCUUGAC
Scylla paramamosain (green mud crab) is the source of this 467-nucleotide long non-coding RNA. RefSeq lists it as uncharacterized. The transcript is spliced from 3 exons. NCBI's taxonomy places the organism in Eukaryota, Metazoa, Arthropoda, Malacostraca, Decapoda, Portunidae. The record is from RefSeq and is a predicted model, not a curated record.